Non-coding RNA from Chelonoidis abingdonii (Abingdon island giant tortoise), 155 nucleotides. The record is from RefSeq and is a predicted model, not a curated record. Lineage: Eukaryota; Metazoa; Chordata; Testudines; Testudinidae.
GCUCCAGCCCACUUAUUGUCACACUUCUUAUCAAACUCUCUGUACUGGUCUAUCUUGAUUAUCACGUCAAAAGUUUUUUCUCGUACUUAAUUGGCCUUUUAGAGUUGGUAAGACAACUUCCAUCCUUUCAUGCUCUCUGUAUGUGUAUAUAUAUC